GACGAAGGGGGCAAGCGUUGUUCGGAUUUACUGGGCGUAAAGCGCACGUAGGCGGAUUUUUAAGUCAGGGGUGAAAUCCCGGGGCUCAACCCCGGAACUGCCUUUGAUACUGGAAGUCUUGAGUAUGGUAGAGGUGAGUGGAAUUCCGAGUGUAGAGGUGAAAUUCGUAGAUAUUCGGAGGAACACCAGUGGCGAAGGCGGCUCACUGGACCAUUACUGACGCUGAGGUGCGAAAGCGUGGGGAGCAAACAGGAUUAGAAACCCCAGUAGU
Molecule: ribosomal RNA, 271 nt
Filed under: uncultured bacterium
Lineage: Bacteria
Description: partial 16S ribosomal RNA
Rfam family: Bacterial small subunit ribosomal RNA
Source: RNAcentral